GUGGGGAAUAUUGGGCAAUGGGCGAAAGCCUGACCCAGCAACGCCGCGUGAAGGAAGAAGGCCCUCGGGUUGUAAACUUCUUUUAAGAGGGACGAAAGAAAUGACGGUACCUCUUGAAUAAGCCACGGCUAACUACGUGCCAGCAGCCGCGGUAAUACGUAGGUGGCGAGCGUUAUCCGGAUUUACUGGGUGUAAAGGGCGUGUAGGCGGGAGUGCAAGUCAGAUGUGAAAAUUAUGGGCUCAACCCAUAACCUGCAUUUGAAACUGUUCUUCUUGAGUGAUGGAGAGGCAGGCGGAAUUCCGUGUGUAGCGGUGAAAUGCGUAGAUAUACGGAGGAACACCAGUGGCGAAGGCGGCCUGCUGGACAUUAACUGACGCUGAGGCGCGAAAGCGUGGGGAGCAAACAGGAUUAGAUACCCCUGUAGUCC
RNAcentral lists this ribosomal RNA (428 nucleotides) under uncultured bacterium. Its description in RNAcentral is "partial 16S ribosomal RNA". It matches the Rfam family "Bacterial small subunit ribosomal RNA", at positions 354 to 796 of the family's 1533-position model. The record is from RNAcentral.